RNAcentral lists this ribosomal RNA (102 nucleotides) under Poa palustris. RNAcentral describes it as "partial 26S ribosomal RNA". It matches the Rfam family "Eukaryotic large subunit ribosomal RNA", at positions 1 to 101 of the family's 3401-position model. Lineage: Eukaryota; Viridiplantae; Streptophyta; Magnoliopsida; Poales; Poaceae. The record is from RNAcentral.
GCGACCCCAGGUCAGGCGGGACUACCCGCUGAAUUUAAGCAUAUAAAUAAGCGGAGGAGAAGAAACUUACAAGGAUUCCCCUAGUAACGGCGAGCGAACCGG